CCGGGUACAACGGGGUGCGACACGGUGACGUGGGGCGGAUCCCUGAAAACCGGUCUCAGUUCGGAUCGCAGUCUGCAACUCGACUGCGUGAAGGUGGAGUCGCUAGUAAUCGCGGAUCAGCAACGCCGCGGUGAAUGCGUUCCCGGGCCUUGUACACACCGCCCGUCAAGUCAUGAAAGUGGGCAGCACCCGAAGACGGUGGCCUAACCCUUGUGGGGGGAGCCGUCUAAGGUGAGGCUCGUGAUUGGGACUAAGUCGUAACAAGGUAUC
This 270-nucleotide ribosomal RNA is filed under the name uncultured bacterium. Its description in RNAcentral is "partial 16S ribosomal RNA". It matches the Rfam family "Bacterial small subunit ribosomal RNA", at positions 1234 to 1500 of the family's 1533-position model. The record is from RNAcentral.